GAUUGGAGGUUCUUUUGGUUGAGCAUCCCGAUUUUUAAAUCGGGAGGGCCCUGGGUUCGAGUCCCAGCCAGUUCA
RNAcentral lists this transfer RNA (75 nucleotides) under Ferruginibacter sp. RNAcentral's name for it is "tRNA-OTHER". It matches the Rfam family "tRNA". Rfam says of the family: Transfer RNA (tRNA) molecules are approximately 80 nucleotides in length. Their secondary structure includes four short double-helical elements and three loops (D, anti-codon, and T loops). Further hydrogen bonds mediate the characteristic L-shaped molecular structure. tRNAs have two regions of fundamental functional importance: the anti-codon, which is responsible for specific mRNA codon recognition, and the 3' end, to which the tRNAs corresponding amino acid is attached (by aminoacyl-tRNA synthetases). tRNAs cope with the degeneracy of the genetic code in two manners: having more than one tRNA (with a specific anti-codon) for a particular amino acid; and 'wobble' base-pairing, i.e. permitting non-standard base-pairing at the 3rd anti-codon position. Lineage: Bacteria; Pseudomonadati; Bacteroidota; Chitinophagia; Chitinophagales; Chitinophagaceae. The record is from RNAcentral.